AGCUUUGCGCAGUGGCAGUAUUAUAGCCAAUGAGGUUAAUAGGAGGCGUGAUUAUUGCUAGUUGAAAAUUAUUUCCACAGAUUGCAUUGAGAUUAAAUAAAAAGAUUUCUUUGGUACAAUUGUACAACAAGUACAUUGU
Small nuclear RNA from Gopherus flavomarginatus (Mexican gopher tortoise), 139 nucleotides. RefSeq annotates it as U4 spliceosomal RNA. The record is from RefSeq and is a predicted model, not a curated record. Lineage: Eukaryota; Metazoa; Chordata; Testudines; Testudinidae. The transcript has a single exon.